This 253-nucleotide ribosomal RNA is filed under the name uncultured bacterium. RNAcentral describes it as "partial 16S ribosomal RNA". It matches the Rfam family "Bacterial small subunit ribosomal RNA", at positions 524 to 776 of the family's 1533-position model. The record is from RNAcentral.
UACGUAGGGUGCAAGCGUUGUCCGGAAUUAUUGGGCGUAAAGAGCUCGUAGGCGGUUCGUCGCGUCGGCUGUGAAAUCCCGAGGCUCAACCUCGGGUCUGCAGUCGAUACGGGCAGACUUGAGUACUGCAGGGGAGACUGGAAUUCCUGGUGUAGCGGUGGAAUGCGCAGAUAUCAGGAGGAACACCGGUGGCGAAGGCGGGUCUCUGGGCAGUAACUGACGCUGAGGAGCGAAAGCGUGGGGAGCGAACAGG